Molecule: ribosomal RNA, 359 nt
Filed under: uncultured bacterium
Lineage: Bacteria
Description: bacterial SSU rRNA
Rfam family: Bacterial small subunit ribosomal RNA
Source: RNAcentral
AGCGAACGCUGGCGGCAGGCUUAACACAUGCAAGUCGAACGCACUCUUCGGAGUGAGUGGCAGACGGGUGAGUAACGCGUGGGAAUCUACCCAGCCCUUCGGAAUAGCUCCGGGAAACUGGAAUUAAUACCGAGUACGCCCUACGGGGGAAAGGAUUUAUCGGGGUUGGAUGAGCCCGCGUUGGAUUAGCUAGUUGGUGGGGUAAUGGCCUACCAAGGCGACGAUCCAUAGCUGGUCUGAGAGGAUGAUCAGCCACACUGGGACUGAGACACGGCCCAGACUCCUACGGGAGGCAGCAGUGGGGAAUAUUGGACAAUGGGCGCAAGCCUGAUCCAGCCAUGCCGCGUGAGUGAUGAAGG